AGAAUCAACGCUGGCGGCGUGCCUAACACAUGCAAGUCGCACGAGAAAGGGGAGCAAUCCCUGAGUAAAGUGGCGCACGGGUGAGUAACACGUGAAUAAUCUACCUCCGAGUGGGGAAUAACUGAGAGAAAUCUUAGCUAAUACCGCAUAACACUUACGAGUCAAAGCAGCAAUGCGCUUGGAGAGGAGUUCGCGGCCGAUUAGUUAGUUGGCGGGGUAAUGGCCCACCAAGACGAUGAUCGGUAUCCGGCCUGAGAGGGCGCACGGACACACUGGAACUGAAACACGGUCCAGACUCCUACGGGAGGCAGCAGUGGGGAAUUUUGCGCAAUGGGGGAAACCCUGACGCAGCAACGCCGCGUGGAGGAUGAAGCCCCUUGGGGUGUAAACUCCUUUCGAUCGGGAAGAUAAGUGACGGUACCGAUAUAAGAAGCCCCGGCUAACUUCGCGCCAGCAGCCGC
Molecule: ribosomal RNA, 461 nt
Filed under: uncultured bacterium
Lineage: Bacteria
Description: SSU rRNA
Rfam family: Bacterial small subunit ribosomal RNA
Source: RNAcentral